CAAAUCAAAAGGUUACGAGUACGAAUCUAAAAAUUACAAGUAGGAUUGAGCCUUAACUCGCUGUCUAAAAUAUGUCACAGAGUUCACAGGCACAGAUAGUUGAUUGUGGGAACAACCGAUGAGAACGUCAAUGCAUGUGUUCCUCGUGUUGUUGAGAGAAGGGAAGAGAGGAACAAACUAAUUUUCUAAACAUAGCAGAAACGCGUCAUGCAGGAGAUACACAGUCUCAGGAUUUACUAAGGCAACAUGUGAUGGAGCGUCUCAAAUCAAGAUUGGCGCGCUCACUCAAUCAAGCAUCAUUAGAUUUAGAUUACUUUGAAUUUGUCAUCAAUCAAGAAAUGUUCAGACUUCCGCUUCAAACAUUGUUGAUAUCCCAUCUGAAAUUAUGGACACUCUCAUGCAGCUCCUCAGGCUACUUUGAGUUGCACUUAGCCAGCAAGACCAGUCGUCAGCAUUUAUCCGAGAAGUAGGUACAACAUUGUGAUAUUUGGGGGAAUUGACGGUUUCUCUAGAAAGAUCAUGUACUUAGAAGCAGCAACCAAUAACAGAUCUACAACCUCACUCACGUUUUUUCUGCAGUCUGUGCAGAGGAAUGGCUGGCCUUGAAGGUAUAACUAACUUUCUCUAAAUACCUUUUCGUCAGGAGUGCUGUGGGAGUGGAGGGUGUUGGAAUAACGGAGUGCAUGUUCAGAGAACAGGAAGAGGAAACUUUAUUGCUGGUAAAAGUGUGCACAACCAAAGUUAAGUUUUGUGUUGACCCGGUUUUUAAUGUUGUACAAAUUCUUCACAGAAAAUGUCAGCUAUGUAUUCGUUCAACUAAAAUAUCAAUUGAAAUGAAUAGUGGAUUGGAUGUGUGUGUGAUGCACAAAACUUUUGUAGAAUUUCAAAAUCGUACAUUUAUUGAAAUGUACAUUUGUUGUUAGAUUUAAAGAUUAGACUCCAUGCUUGACAAGAACACCAACUGUAUAAAACGUCUGUGGAAACAACUGCAAAGAAAAUGAUAUCGACACAAUGACAAAAGAUGUUAAGCUGUUAUUGCUGCCAAAGGUGACCAUAAAAUACACUUUCAGACAUGGGUGUGGUUUUAGUUUUAUUUAUAUUGGGAAUAUGUAUUCACAAUUAGUAUUUUGUGGUGUUUAGGUGUUCUAAUAAAUGUGGCCAGUACUGUUUUUUUUCUUGUUUUUAGGAUAGAACGACUGUGGCAUGAUGUCUGGGUCAGUGUAACACAGUUAUACUAUGAGAUUCUCCACAGCCUAGAAGAUGGGCUCUUGGAGCUGUCAAACGCUCUUCAUAUUUUCUGUGUUCACUACGUGUUCCUUCCUUGUCUACAAGCACAUCUGCACAUGUUUAGCACUAGCUGGGAUAAUCACCCUUUAAGUACUGAGGGGGGUUAUCUCCCAAUCGGUUGUGGAUAAUGGUCCAUAUGCAGAACCCAUUAAGUGACUCUGAAGAUGUUUUACAGGUGUUUAUUUUUUAAGCAUUUUUGUAUACGAAAUGUGUUUUCAAUCAGAUUUCCUGUUCCAUCAUUUUUUUUUAACCUUGGUCAGCCUGUCCCCUUGAAUAGUGCUGUGUGCUUGUCUUGAUUCCUGUGUUUUGAGGCAACAAAAUUCUAGUAUGAGUGCACUUAUUUAUUUUGUGAUAUGCACCUACCUAUCUUGACCUGUUCUCCUCAUUUAUUAGGUUACAUCUAUCAAUAUGUUUACAUAAAAUAUAAUGGUAAAUUGAAAUACAUAUGUACAGGGUGAUAAAGUAAGCAUACCACGUCAAUAUAUCAGUGCACUGUAUCUCCCAAAUGGUAGGGCAUAUGAAGGUGAAAUUGCAUCUUGCGCUAUAUAAAAAUAAAGAUAUUAUUAUUACCAGAAACAACUCAUCUAAUGUAUUUUGCAAAUUACUGGCACCAAUUGGGAAAUGUAAGAUUUUACUGAUGACAUCCACCCUGGAAUUGAAGUACCAGAAAUCGAAUGCCCUGUGACCGAGGAGGUGCUGGACAAUAUUAAGCACGUUAUAGACCCCACUGCACACUCUGACUCAUUCGGACAAUUUACAUUGCAAUGCUGCAGUGCGUUGUUUGCUUUACUAGUGCAAAACAUGAAUAAUAUAUGCUUGUUUAUUUAUUUAUUUAUUUAUUUAUUUUUGGGGGGGGGGGGCGGUCACUAAACAAAAAAAAGCAAUGGUGAAUUUUGCUUCUGUGUACCAAAAUGCCUUCACCCACUCUUGUAAUCAUUACUUAAAGAUGUCCACUCCCAUACAUGCUUAUAUAGGAGAGCCUUCCAACCUUCUGUGCCUGUGACCUCUGUGACGUAUUUUAGACAGCGAGUUAAGGCUCAAUCCUACUUGUAAUUUUUAGAUUCGUACUCGUAACUUUUUGAUUUGUACU
Molecule: long non-coding RNA, 2377 nt
Organism: Acipenser ruthenus (sterlet)
Lineage: Eukaryota; Metazoa; Chordata; Actinopteri; Acipenseriformes; Acipenseridae
Exons: 5
Source: RefSeq, a predicted model, not a curated record